CCUGAAGUGGGGGAUAGCUCUCCGAAAGGAGGAUUAAUACCGCAUGUGAUCUUCGGAUCAAAGGUGGCUUCGGCUGCCGCUUCAGGAUGGGCUCGCGGCCUAUCAGCUUGUUGGUGAGGUAACGGCUCACCAAGGCUAUGACGGGUAGCUGGUCUGAGAGGACGAUCAGCCUCACUGGAACUGAGACACGGUCCAGACACCUACGGGUGGCAGCAGUCGAGAAUCAUUCACAAUGGGCGAAAGCCUGAUGGUGCAACGCCGCGUGGAGGAUGACGGCCUUCGGGUUGUAAACUCCUGUCAUCUGGGAGUAAUCCUUGUUCGUUAAUAGCGUGCAAGGUUGAUAGUACCAGAAGAGGAAGGGA
This 362-nucleotide ribosomal RNA is filed under the name uncultured Verrucomicrobiota bacterium. Its description in RNAcentral is "bacterial SSU rRNA". It matches the Rfam family "Bacterial small subunit ribosomal RNA", at positions 130 to 493 of the family's 1533-position model. Lineage: Bacteria; Pseudomonadati; Verrucomicrobiota. The record is from RNAcentral.